UACGUAAGGUGCAGGCGUUAAUCGGAAUUACUGGGCGUAAAGCGUGCGCAGGCGGCUUCUCAAGUCAGAUGUGAAAUCCCCGGGCUUAACCUGGGAACUGCGUUUGAAACUGGGAGGCUAGAGUGUGGCAGAGGGGGGUGGAAUUCCACGUGUAGCAGUGAAAUGCGUAGAUAUGUGGAGGAACACCGAUGGCGAAGGCAGCCCCCUGGGCCUGCACUGACGCUCAUGCACGAAAGCGUGGGGAGCAAACAGG
RNAcentral lists this ribosomal RNA (253 nucleotides) under uncultured bacterium. RNAcentral's name for it is "partial 16S ribosomal RNA". It matches the Rfam family "Bacterial small subunit ribosomal RNA", at positions 524 to 776 of the family's 1533-position model. The record is from RNAcentral.